GACGAACGCUGGCGGCGUGCCUAAUACAUGCAAGUAGAACGCUGAAGGAGGAGCUUGCUUCUCUGGAUGAGUUGCAAACGGGUGAGUAACGCGUAGGUAACCUGCCUGGUAGCGGGGGAUAACUAUUGGAAACGAUAGCUAAUACCGCAUAAGAGUAGAUGUUGCAUGACAUUUGCUUAAAAGGUGCAAUUGCAUCACUACCAGAUGGACCUGCAUUGUAUUAGCUAGUUGGUGGGGUAACGGCUCACCAAGGCGACGAUACAUAGCCGACCUGAGAGGGUGAUCGGCCACACUGGGACUGAGACACGGCCCAGACUCCUACGGGAGGCAGCAGUAGGGAAUCUUCGGCAAUGGACGGAAGUCUGACCGAGCAACGCCGCGUGAGUGAAGAAGGUUUUCGGAUCGUAAAGCUCUGUUGUAAGAGAAGAACGAGUGUGAGAGUGGAAAGUUCACACUGUGACGGUAUCUUACCAGAAAGGGACGGCUAACUACGUG
RNAcentral lists this ribosomal RNA (495 nucleotides) under uncultured bacterium. Its description in RNAcentral is "partial 16S ribosomal RNA". It matches the Rfam family "Bacterial small subunit ribosomal RNA", at positions 28 to 507 of the family's 1533-position model. The record is from RNAcentral.